GUGGGGAAUAUUGGACAAUGGGCGCAAGCCUGAUCCAGCAACGCCGCGUGGAGGAAGAAGGUCUUCGGAUCGUAAACUCCUGUCAGAUGGGACGAAAAGGCGUCGGCGAAUAGUCGGCGCCGCUGACGGUACCAUCAGAGGAAGCCCCGGCUCACCCCGUGCCAGCAGCCGCGGUAAUACGGAGGGGGCUAGCGUUAUUCGGAAUUACUGGGCGUAAAGCGUGCGCAGGCGGUGAUGCAAGACAGAUGUGAAAUCCCCGGGCUUAACCUGGGAACUGCAUUUGUGACUGCAUCGCUGGAGUGCGGCAGAGGGGGAUGGAAUUCCGCGUGUAGCAGUGAAAUGCGUAGAUAUGCGGAGGAACACCGAUGGCGAAGGCAAUCCCCUGGGCCUGCACUGACGCUCAUGCACGAAAGCGUGGGGAGCAA
RNAcentral lists this ribosomal RNA (425 nucleotides) under uncultured bacterium. Its description in RNAcentral is "bacterial SSU rRNA". It matches the Rfam family "Bacterial small subunit ribosomal RNA", at positions 354 to 771 of the family's 1533-position model. The record is from RNAcentral.